This 2513-nucleotide long non-coding RNA is filed under the name Coffea arabica (coffee). Its description in RNAcentral is "long non-coding RNA (CARA_LNC001375)". The record is from RNAcentral. Lineage: Eukaryota; Viridiplantae; Streptophyta; Magnoliopsida; Gentianales; Rubiaceae.
GUCGACCAAAAGAGAGAGAGAAAGGGAGAGCAAAAGAAAAAAAUUCUUUCUUCUUGAAUCUUAGCCAAACCAAGUGAGAAAAUCCAAUUUUAAACCGAUUAAAGUGGAGGUUGUGAGUUGGGAAGCUUGAGGAACUAAGAAAUUUCUAAGGGGGUGAAGAAUCACUCUUCCAAGACUUGCUUUUGAGGUAUAAACAUCUGAUCAUGAUCCUUGUUGCUUUAAUCUUGCUUUAAGAUGUUUUUUUUAGCUUAAGUUUUGGCUUGAUUUCAUGAUUAUCCAAGUGGUUGUGAUGAAUUUUGGGAUGAAUAAGCAAGCUAGGGUUUCAGAGUUUCUGCCUAAACUUGUUGUGUGGUUGUAAAUGUUGUAAAUAAGGUUAUAUAAGGUUGUUUGGUAGUGAUUAGAACAAGAAAUUUGAGAAAAUUCCAUUAAAUACCAAAAAUUCCAGAAUCUGGAAAAUUUUCCCCAACUUUCUGUCCGGUUUUGUAACCCUAUGUUAGAGGCCGAAUUGGCCUUAGGUCAAAACAUGAAAGUUGUAGAGAAUGGUAUUUUAUAGGUUCCUGUAAAAUUUCAGCUCAAUCGGAGCAACGUACCAUGUGAAAAGACGAAAAUACCCUUGCUGUUUUAGGUUACCUUCCAGAAUGCCGCGUGGACAGUUCAGUCUAUUUGAUGGUAUUUAUUCGCUGUAAUCCGUUCAGUUUUAGUCUUGGCCCAAAACAUGAAAGUUUUAGUGCCCUGUCUUAGCUUUCUAACGCCUCAAAGAACACCUUAAUCGGACCUUGGUAACCUGAGAUAUGACCAUUCCAGUGCAGUGUGGUUAAAUAGCCGACUAGUUGGGUUUUGGUUCUGUAAAUUGAGGAUUUGACUAGGUUGCAUUGGAAAAUGGACCAAGUGAUCUUCAUGAACAUUGUAUCCCUGAGUCUUAGCUUCGAAACGGCAUAAGUUUCGCCUCAAUCCAAUAAGCGUAGCCUCGGAUGUGUUAUUUCCGCAACCAUACGUCAAAUCUGUCUUUUGCUAGGUUACAUUUCCACCCUUAUUAUCACUUUGAUUUUUGUUCUUAUGUUGUGUUGAGCCUAUGGAAUGGCUAAUGAACUGAAAUUAUAUUGUGGAUGAUGUUGGGUUGGAUUGUGUAAGGAUUGAAGCCAAAAUGGCUGGAAAAUUUGGUAAACACAAAGGGCAUGCUGCCCGAAUUUACACUCGAGGACUAGGAAACUAUACUUGUAACGUGAGUAAGGGUUAAGUGAUUAUCACUCGAGCUAGCGAGGACCUUGCUGCUUUGUUAUCAAGGGUUAUAUGUUAGGACUUGGCCGAACUUGUACCCUUGAGAAAUGAAAUCAUGAUUGCUCGGAGUAUAUUUUCCUUGUACUUUCGACUCGCAUGGCAUUUUCAAGUAAAAAUGUUACAAAGUUUUACUGUUUAAAAAGCGAGCAAGUGUUUCACGACUACUCUCCAAGUGAAUUUCAAUUUCUUGAUCUUUAUUGACGAAACGUCUAAGUUUCGAAUUCUAGACAUGUUUCAAAGUUCUCAAACUGAGUUUAUCGCAUAUUUGGACUCCGAACCCAGAGUAUAACCUGAAAGUGACCAGUAAAGGCACUAUAUCUUGUGGUGAGUGCUUUCAAAUACUGAAUUGCACUAGAUACUUGAACUUGAUACGUGACCAAUAUGAGUACAUGUUAUAUACGUGAAUUGACAGGGCAAGAGUGUACUUUAUCGCACUUGCUCUUACGUGAUAUACUUGUUUAUUGAUUGCAAUUGACUUGAUAUACUUGAUGUGCGCACUUCCUGGAAUUCCAGAAACUCUGUGGCGAGUUACUCUAGUCGAGCCGGCAAGGGCUUGGUCGAUUGGGUAACGAACCCUGGGUCUCUUGUUUUGUCGAGUGGAGUGAUACCUCCUCGGCUAAUCGGUAUACUCGAGUAUUACCACCCAUGUUUAUUGAGGAUUUUGGGCCCAGUAGGGGGUGUGAAUGGUGGACGGAUAGUCGUGUAAGUGGUGCUCUACUGGAUUGGUUCCUUUACUUGAAAGUUGACGGAGUGUCAACUACUACGUGAUCAAGCUCCUGAUGAUGAAUGGAAGUUGGCUCCUGAGGGCCAUCCGUAUCCUUAUGCUUUGGAUUGAUUAUUGCUUAUUGGAUUAUUGUUGAUUUUGAAAAACUUUUACACUCGCUCAUUUUGAGAUUUCUACUUGACGUGUUAUUGUUCACAUUUAUGAACUCUUCAUGCUCCUUACUUUGCUAUAUCGAAAACUUGUACUUAUAAAUAAUGGUCAAUUUGCUAUUUGGAACCUCACUGGGCUUUUAGCUCAUACCACGUUAUUUGUUUUCCUUACAGGGGUACGAGCGAGGCGUGAGAUAUGUAAAGACUAGCGUAGUCUAGUUGUUUGACUUUUGACUUGUACUCGCGCUAUUCCUCGAAUGGAACAUUUUGUAUUUGGAUUGUAUUCGUUUUGAACUAGUUUAAGUAUAUCGAGACUUUGUACCCUGAUCUCUAUCAAUGUAAAUUAUAAGUUUGAAUUGUGG